This 2032-nucleotide unclassified non-coding RNA is filed under the name Hevea brasiliensis (rubber tree). Lineage: Eukaryota; Viridiplantae; Streptophyta; Magnoliopsida; Malpighiales; Euphorbiaceae. The record is from RNAcentral.
GCGUCUUCCGCUCUCUUACGGCCUCUCAUCAAUUGAAAGGUUACUGUUACUUCAUUACACUUGGCUAAGCUUGCAAAGUUGCAAAUCCAAACUUUUAUAUUACAGAGGAACAUUCGCUUCAACGACAAGCAAUGGAGCCCCAUAGCCAGCAAUUACCUGUUGUUGGUACCCUCCAAAACCUUCCUGAAACGCCCACUUCCAAAUUUCCGACCAAUAUUGUUCACAAAGUGAGAGAAAAUUUGGUCUUUCAAUCAAAAUGGGCAGAAAUCAAUGGUGCCAUGGGAGACUUAGGCACUUACAUCCCAAUAGUCAUGGCCUUGACCCUAGCCAGUGACCUUAACCUGGGCACAACGCUAAUAUUCACUGGCAUGUAUAAUAUUGUCACUGGUGCAAUUUAUGGCGUGCCAAUGCCAGUACAGCCCAUGAAAUCAAUUGCUGCUGUUGCUAUAUCAAACAAAGAAGAAUUUGGCAUCCCAGAAGUUAUGGCAGCAGGAAUUUGCACUGGGGGAAUUCUAUUGAUUUUGGGUUGCACAGGUUUGAUGCAGCUAGUUUAUAGGCUAAUUCCACUAUCUGUUGUUCGGGGGAUUCAGCUUUCACAAGGGUUAUCAUUUGCAAUGACUGCUGUUAAGUAUAUUAGGAAGGAUCAGAACUUUUCCAAGUCAAAGUCAGGUGGAGAUCGACCCUGGUUGGGGUUGGAUGGGUUGGUUUUGGCUGUAUUUUGUGCUUGCUUUAUUACUGUGGUCAAUGGUGCAGGGGAGGAUAGAGGAGAAAGAGAGAUUAAUAAUAGCAAUUUGUGUGAAGAAGAAAGGCAUAGGAGUAGGAGGAGGAGAAUUAGGAAAAUUAUUUCCUCACUUCCCUCUGCUUUUAUGGUCUUCUUGCUGGGUGUGGUUUUGGCAAUUAUAAGGAGGCCUAAAGUGGUGCAGGAUAUUAAAUUAGGACCAUCUUCUAUUCAGGCGGUGAAAAUCUCCAAGCAUGCUUGGAAAGAAGGGUUUAUCAAGGGCACAAUUCCUCAACUUCCUUUAUCAAUUCUAAAUUCUGUCAUUGCUGUGUGUAAGCUGUCAGCUGAUCUUUUUCCAGGCAAGGACUUCUCUGCUACCUCUCUUUCAGUGACUGUAGGCCUAAUGAACUUAGUGGGAUGUUGGUUUGGGGCCAUGCCCUGUUGCCAUGGUGCAGGAGGCCUUGCUGGUCAGUACAAGUUUGGAGGUAGGAGUGGUGGGUGUGUUACCCUUCUGGGAGCAGCCAAAAUGGUCUUGGGCUUGCUUAUAGGGAGUUCUUUAGUGAUGGUUUUGGACCAAUUCCCAGUUGGGGUCUUAGGAGUGCUACUCUUGUUUGCUGGAAUAGAGCUAGCUAUGGCUUCAAGAGACAUGAACACAAAGGACGAAUCCUUUGUGAUGCUUAUAUGCACUGCAGUUUCGCUUGUGGGUUCUAGUGCAGCACUUGGCUUUGUGUGUGGGAUUGUUGCGCAUGUUCUUCUUAAGUUGAGAUCUGGCAUUAUGCAUAGCACAAGAAUUCCAUAGAAAUUUAAAUUUGUAUUGGGAUUUUUAUUUUCUGCCUUUUCGUCAGGGCACUGUGAUUCUGUGAAUCCAAUGUCCCUUCCAAGUUAUGAAAACAAAUAAAAACUUUUAGUGUACUACUUUUUCUUUAAUUUGAAGUGGUCUUAUUCAGCCCCUGGCUCUCUGCAUUAUCACUGAAGUUUCCUCUCCCUGGCUACUUCCAUACCUCUCAUCCUCUCUGCUUCCUAACUUAUUCGUGGGAAAGCGCAGAUGUAGAGGAUAUUUUGAACCCCAUGUUGUUCUUUAGCUAAAUGAUUCACUGAAACAUUCUUGUUUAUACGUUUAAACUUGUUAAGUUAUUGUCAUUUACUGCUAAAAUGUGAUCAAUAGCUUAUCUGCAUUUGUCUUUCACCAGUUUCUGACAAGCAAGCACUGAUGCGGCUUUCUCUUCGCACUAAGAAUAGAUAACAUAACCAAUGAGCUUUGGUUCAAUGGCAUUAGAGUCGUGUUUAGAGUAGUGAGGUUAUGAGUUCGAACCU